Molecule: microRNA precursor, 73 nt
Filed under: Chlorocebus sabaeus (green monkey)
Lineage: Eukaryota; Metazoa; Chordata; Mammalia; Primates; Cercopithecidae
Description: miRNA (ENSCSAG00000023408.1)
Source: RNAcentral
GCAGCUCGGUGAGCCCUCGCUGGCCUGGCAGCGCGUCGGAAGAACAGGGAGGGUGGGGCCGCGCGGAUCUUGC